Molecule: ribosomal RNA, 253 nt
Filed under: uncultured bacterium
Lineage: Bacteria
Description: partial 16S ribosomal RNA
Rfam family: Bacterial small subunit ribosomal RNA
Source: RNAcentral
UACGUAGGGUGCGAGCGUUGCCCGGAUUUAUUGGGCGUAAAGGGUGCGUAGGCGGUCGCGCAAGUCGGAUGUGAAAUCUCAGGGCUCAACCCUGAAACUGCAUUCGAUACUGCGUGGCUAGAGUGCUGGAGAGGAGACUGGAAUUUACGGUGUAGCAGUGAAAUGCGUAGAUAUCGUAAGGAAGACCAGUGGCGAAGGCGAGUCUCUGGACAGCAACUGACGCUGAGGCACGAAGGCCAGGGGAGCAAACGGG